This is a non-coding RNA of Pelobates cultripes (western spadefoot toad), 464 nucleotides long. The record is from the annotation of a GenBank genome assembly. NCBI's taxonomy places the organism in Eukaryota, Metazoa, Chordata, Amphibia, Anura, Pelobatidae.
GGCAGCCGCGUCAGACCCGUGCUGCGGUGCAAUAAAGGUGAGUAAAAUCACCUUCUGCAUAGGUUGCAUGGGGCAGGGCACCUAAAUAGUAUUAUUACAGCUGUAGUGACAGAAAUACAUGUUUGUGGUCCUUUAGUGUAUAGCGAAGGAAAAACCACUCUAGAACAGUAGGCUUGUGGCUCUCAGUUAUGUUACAGAAUAUGAUGGAAUGUACUAAAAUGUUGUUUAAGCUGUACCUUUAUCUAUAUUUUGGAUACUCCCAUGUCUUAGAAGUGAUUACAUGGUCACUACAAUUAUCAGGUUUGAACUUUAACACAAAACAAAGUAACUGUAAUUUAACCGUUAAAAAAAACCAUUACUGAAAUCAUACAUUUCCUUUUACUGUAACAGUAGUCCACUUUGGAUCAGAUGUUUUUCGCUCCUUGUCUCAAGUGCCUGAGCAAUUAACUUUUUAUAAAUUGGAC